Molecule: ribosomal RNA, 293 nt
Filed under: uncultured bacterium
Lineage: Bacteria
Description: partial 16S ribosomal RNA
Rfam family: Bacterial small subunit ribosomal RNA
Source: RNAcentral
GUGCCAGCCGCCGCGGUAAGACGAACCGUGCGAACGUUAUUCGGAAUCACUGGGCUUAAAGCGCGUGUAGGCGGAUGGGAACGUCGGUGACUGAAAGCCCCCGGCUCAACCGGGGAAGUGGAGCCGAAACGACCUGUCUGGAGGGACGUAGGGGGACCUGGAACUUCCGGUGGAGCGGUGAAAUGCGUUGAGAUCGGAAGGAACGCCCGUGGCGAAAGCGAGGUCCUGGACGUCUGCUGACGCUGAGACGCGAAAGCUAGGGGAGCAAACGGGAUUAGAUACCCGAGUAGUCC